GUCUAUGGCCGUGCCACCCCGAACGCGCCCAGUCUCAUGUGAUCUCGGAAGCUCGGCAGGGUCGGGCCUGGUUAGUACUUGGAUGGGAGACCACCUAGGAAGACCAGGCGCUGUAGGCG
Molecule: ribosomal RNA, 119 nt
Filed under: Pteropus alecto (black flying fox)
Lineage: Eukaryota; Metazoa; Chordata; Mammalia; Chiroptera; Pteropodidae
Source: RNAcentral